This 162-nucleotide ribosomal RNA is filed under the name uncultured freshwater bacterium. Its description in RNAcentral is "partial 16S ribosomal RNA". It matches the Rfam family "Bacterial small subunit ribosomal RNA", at positions 338 to 497 of the family's 1533-position model. The record is from RNAcentral.
CCUACGGGAGGCAGCAGUGGGGAAUUUUGGGCAACGGGGGCAACCAUGAUCCAGCAAUGCCGCGUGAGUGAAGAAGGCCUUGGGGUUGGAAAGAUGUUUUUCAGGGAAGAACCGGUGGGAGUGAAUAAGUUGUAAUAAUGACGUACGUGAGAUAGCACGUGC